CCACCAUGAAGUGUCUGUGCUCUCUGACUGUCUUUGUCAUCAUGAUAGUGAACUGCGCUUCACAGUCAAUAGCACCACUGGAUAACAAAACACAGGUUCAUGCUCUUGAAGACGAGAGAGUUAUUCUCUCCUGCACGUAUAAUGGUAGAGUGAACAAUCUGCAGUGGUAUCGUCAGUAUCCUGGAUCCAGACCAGAGUUUUUGCUGCUGAAAUAUCCAGAAGCAAGUGGUGUAGUCCCUGCAGACCCUCCUUUCCCUCGACUGGAUGCCAAAGUGAAUGGAAGUAGAGUGAAUCUGUUGAUCUCCUCUGCUGCAGUAUCAGACUCUGCACUCUACUACUGUGCUCUGCAGCCCACAGUGACAGGAAACCCAGCUACACUGUACAAAAACUUACUGCAGGAGGAUGCUUUGCAUUUGGUAAUAGAAGCUUUAGGUGUUGCUCAGUUUGCCAGCCAAUCAAUGCAUGAUCAGAUGAAAUAAGAUCAGAGUUGAGAUGCAUGAGCUUCAUUGUGAACUAGGAGUGGGUGGAGCUACAAGUGUUAAGAUACAGAUCAUACAACAUCAGAGAGUCAACACAGCUAUUAAUGUCUGAUGCUGGAGACCUGAACUGUCACUCAGAACAAUCAUGCUGCUCUUCAUCUCUGUUUUCAUCAUUGCUUUCAGGUAUAU
Pygocentrus nattereri (red-bellied piranha) is the source of this 668-nucleotide non-coding RNA. Lineage: Eukaryota; Metazoa; Chordata; Actinopteri; Characiformes; Serrasalmidae. The record is from the annotation of a RefSeq genome assembly.